GGAUUCAUCUCCCGUCAUGUGUUUGGAGCAUCCACUAUCAAGGUACCAUAGUACGCUUGAUCACUUCAAGCAUACCUACAAAACAAAUUAAUUUUCUUUGGGUACCCAUGCAAUCUUGGGUCCUUGAGGGUUAGGCAUAUUGUAAUAAUAUGUUUGAGUAGCAUAUCUAUGACGAGUAAAACAUGCGGGAGCAAUAUGACCAAUGCGUCUACAAUAAUGACAUGUCAC
Molecule: long non-coding RNA, 228 nt
Filed under: Nicotiana benthamiana
Lineage: Eukaryota; Viridiplantae; Streptophyta; Magnoliopsida; Solanales; Solanaceae
Description: long non-coding RNA (NBEN_LNC000835)
Source: RNAcentral